Molecule: long non-coding RNA, 259 nt
Filed under: Lathyrus oleraceus (garden pea)
Lineage: Eukaryota; Viridiplantae; Streptophyta; Magnoliopsida; Fabales; Fabaceae
Description: Pisum sativum (pea) long non-coding RNA (PSAT_LNC040030)
Source: RNAcentral
AAAUUUCAUGGGAUUAACAUCAUCAUUUUCAUCAUUCCCACAAUUCAAUAAAAUUUCCUGUUUUUAACGUCAUCACUUUUAUCAUUCACACAAUUCAAUCGAAUUUCAUGGGUUUAACAUCAACAUUUCAUCAUUUCUACAAUUCAAUCAAAUUUCAUAGGUUUAACAAUAACACUUUCAUCAUUCCCAUAAUUCAAUCAAAUUUCAUGGGUUUAACAUCAUCAUUUUCGUCAUUCACACAGUUCAAUCAAAUUUCAUG